GAUGAACGCUGGCGGCGUGCUUAACACAUGCAAGUCGAACGGAAAGGCUCCUGCUUGCAGGGGUACUCGAGUGGCGAACGGGUGAGUAACACGUGGGUGAUCUGCCCUGCACUUCGGGAUAAGCCUGGGAAACUGGGUCUAAUACCGGAUAGGACGAUGGUUUGGAUGCCAUUGUGGAAAGUUUUUCGGUGUGGGAUGAGCUCGCGGCCUAUCAGCUUGUUGGUGGGGUAAUGGCCUACCAAGGCGUCGACGGGUAGCCGGCCUGAGAGGGUGGACGGCCACAUUGGGACUGAGAUACGGCCCAGACUCCUACGGGAGGCAGCAGUGGGGAAUAUUGCACAAUGGGCGCAAGCCUGAUGCAGCAACGCCGCGUGGGGGAUGACGGCCUUCGGGUUGUAAACUCCUUUCGCUAGGGACGAAGCGCGAGUGACGGUACCUGGAGAAGAAGCACCGGCUAACUACGUG
RNAcentral lists this ribosomal RNA (465 nucleotides) under uncultured bacterium. Its description in RNAcentral is "partial 16S ribosomal RNA". It matches the Rfam family "Bacterial small subunit ribosomal RNA", at positions 28 to 507 of the family's 1533-position model. The record is from RNAcentral.